UACGUAGGGUGCGAGCGUUAAUCGGAAUUACUGGGCGUAAAGCGUGCGCAGGCGGUUUUGUAAGCCAGAUGUGAAAUCCCCGGGCUCAACCUGGGAACUGCGUUUGAAACUACAAGGCUAGAGUGUAGCAGAGGGGGGUAGAAUUCCACGUGUAGCAGUGAAAUGCGUAGAGAUGUGGAGGAAUACCAAUGGCGAAGGCAGCCCCCUGGGUUAACACUGACGCUCAUGCACGAAAGCGUGGGGAGCAAACAGG
This 253-nucleotide ribosomal RNA is filed under the name uncultured bacterium. Its description in RNAcentral is "partial 16S ribosomal RNA". It matches the Rfam family "Bacterial small subunit ribosomal RNA", at positions 524 to 776 of the family's 1533-position model. The record is from RNAcentral.